GAUGAACGCUGGCGGCGUGCCUAAUACAUGCAAGUCGAGCGAACAGACGAGGAGCUUGCUCCUUUGAUGUUAGCGGCGGACGGGUGAGUAACACGUAGGUAACCUACCUAUAAGACUGGGAUAACUUCGGGAAACCGGAGCUAAUACCGGAUAAUAUUUCGAACCGCAUGGUUCGAUAGUGAAAGAUGGCUUUGCUAUCACUUAUAGAUGGACCUGCGCCGUAUUAGCUAGUUGGUAAGGUAACGGCUUACCAAGGCAACGAUACGUAGCCGACCUGAGAGGGGGAUCGGCCACACUGGAACUGAGACACGGUCCAGACUCCUAGGGGAGGCAGCAGUAGGGAAUCUUCCGAAAUGGGCGAAAGCCUGACGGAGCAACGCCGCGUGAGUGAUGAAGGUCUUCGGAUCGUAAAACUCUGUUAUUAGGGAAGAACAAACGUGUAAGUAACUGUGCCCGUCUUGACGGUACCUAAUCAGAAAGCAACGGCUAACUACGU
RNAcentral lists this ribosomal RNA (496 nucleotides) under uncultured bacterium. RNAcentral's name for it is "partial 16S ribosomal RNA". It matches the Rfam family "Bacterial small subunit ribosomal RNA", at positions 28 to 506 of the family's 1533-position model. The record is from RNAcentral.